Molecule: ribosomal RNA, 253 nt
Filed under: uncultured bacterium
Lineage: Bacteria
Description: partial 16S ribosomal RNA
Rfam family: Bacterial small subunit ribosomal RNA
Source: RNAcentral
UACGUAGGGUGCAAGCGUUAAUCGGAAUUACUGGGCGUAAAGCGUGCGCAGGCGGUUAUGCAAGACAGAUGUGAAAUCCCCGGGCUCAACCUGGGAACUGCAUUUGUGACUGCAUAGCUAGAGUACGGUAGAGGGGGAUGGAAUUCCGCGUGUAGCAGUGAAAUGCGUAGAGAUGCGGCGGAACACCGAUGGCGAAGGCAGCCCCCUGGGCUGAGAUUGACGCUCAGGCACGAAAGCGUGGGGAGCAAACAGG